UCAAUGGUUGGCUAGGGUUCCGGUUCGCAUGCCAUGCAUGCGGAUGUCUGGUCCGAGAGCUGGCGACCUCGGUUCGGGGUUACACGGCGGGACAAAAGCCCGGGAGAG
RNAcentral lists this small RNA (108 nucleotides) under Hylemonella gracilis. RNAcentral describes it as "Guanidine-I sequence". It matches the Rfam family "Guanidine-I riboswitch aptamer". Rfam says of the family: This family represents a conserved RNA structure found upstream of the ykkC and yxkD genes in Bacillus subtilis and related genes in other bacteria. The function of this family is unclear although it has been suggested that it may function to switch on efflux pumps and detoxification systems in response to harmful environmental molecules. The record is from RNAcentral. Lineage: Bacteria; Pseudomonadati; Pseudomonadota; Betaproteobacteria; Burkholderiales; Comamonadaceae. RNAcentral also lists the same sequence under 1 other name.